GAACGCGAAGAACCUUACCCGGUCUUGAGAUCCUCCUGAAUACAGGGUAAUGCCUGUAGUCCUUCGGGACAGGAGAGACAGGUGGUGCAUGGUUGUCGUCAGCUCGUGUCGUGAGAUGUUGGGUUAAGUCCCGCAACGAGCGCAACCCCUAUUUUUAGUAGCCAGCGGUUAGGCCGGGCACUCUAGAAAGACUGCCGAGGAUAACUCGGAGGAAGGCGGGGAUGACGUCAAAUCAUCAUGCCCCUUAUGACCGGGGCUACACACGUGCUACAAUGGCAGUUACAGAGGGAAGCGAAGGCGUGAGCCGGAGCGAAUCCCAGAAAGGCUGCCUCAGUUCGGAUUGUAGUCUGCAACUCGACUACAUGAAGCUGGAAUCGCUAGUAAUCGCGAAUCAGAAUGUCGCGGUGAAUACGUUCCCGGGUCUUGUACACACC
RNAcentral lists this ribosomal RNA (434 nucleotides) under uncultured bacterium. Its description in RNAcentral is "bacterial SSU rRNA". It matches the Rfam family "Bacterial small subunit ribosomal RNA", at positions 957 to 1391 of the family's 1533-position model. The record is from RNAcentral.